Molecule: transfer RNA, 76 nt
Filed under: Sulfidibacter corallicola
Lineage: Bacteria; Pseudomonadati; Acidobacteriota; Holophagae; Acanthopleuribacterales; Acanthopleuribacteraceae
Description: Acanthopleuribacteraceae bacterium M133 tRNA-Thr
Rfam family: tRNA
About the family: Transfer RNA (tRNA) molecules are approximately 80 nucleotides in length. Their secondary structure includes four short double-helical elements and three loops (D, anti-codon, and T loops). Further hydrogen bonds mediate the characteristic L-shaped molecular structure. tRNAs have two regions of fundamental functional importance: the anti-codon, which is responsible for specific mRNA codon recognition, and the 3' end, to which the tRNAs corresponding amino acid is attached (by aminoacyl-tRNA synthetases). tRNAs cope with the degeneracy of the genetic code in two manners: having more than one tRNA (with a specific anti-codon) for a particular amino acid; and 'wobble' base-pairing, i.e. permitting non-standard base-pairing at the 3rd anti-codon position.
Source: RNAcentral
GCCGCCAUAGCUCAGUUGGUAGAGCGACGGAUUCGUAACCCGUAGGUCUCCAGUUCGACUCUGGAUGGCGGCACCA